AUUGAACGCUGGCGGCAGGCCUAACACAUGCAAGUCGAACGAGUGGCGGACGGGUGAGUAAUGUCUGGGAAACUGCCUGAUGGAGGGGGAUAACUACUGGAAACGGUAGCUAAUACCGCAUACCAUCAGAUGUGCCCAGAUGGGAUUAGCUUGUUGGUGGGGUAACGAAUCACCAAGGCGACGAUCCCUAGCUGGUCUGAGAGGAUGACCGUACAAACGGGAACUGAGACAAGGUCCAGACUCCUACGGGAGGAAGCAGUUGGGAAUAGUUCACAAUGGGCGCAAGCCUGAUGCAGCCAUGCCGAGUGUAUGAAGGAGGCCUUCGGGUUGGAAAGUACUUUCAGCGGGGGGGCGUUACCCGCAGAAGAAGCACCGGCUAACUCCGUGCCAGCAGCCGCGGUAAUAC
This 406-nucleotide ribosomal RNA is filed under the name uncultured bacterium. RNAcentral describes it as "partial 16S ribosomal RNA". It matches the Rfam family "Bacterial small subunit ribosomal RNA", at positions 30 to 526 of the family's 1533-position model. The record is from RNAcentral.